AAUAGAUACCCGGGUAGUCCACCCGUAAACGUUGGGAACUAGUUGUGGGGUCCUUUCCACGGAUUCCGUGACGCAGCUAACGCAUUAAGUUCCCCGCCUGGGGAGUACGGCCGCAAGGCUAAAACUCAAAGGAAUUGACGGGGACCCGCACAAGCGGCGGAGCAUGCGGAUUAAUUCGAUGCAACGCGAAGAACCUUACCAAGGCUUGACAUACACCAGAACACCCUAGAAAUAGGGGACUCUUUGGACACUGGUGAACAGGUGGUGCAUGGUUGUCGUCAGCUCGUGUCGUGAGAUGUUGGGUUAAGUCCCGCAACGAGCGCAACCCUCGUUCUAUGUUGCCAGCACGUAAUGGUGGGAACUCAUGGGAUACUGCCGGGGUCAACUCGGAGGAAGGUGGGGAUGACGUCAAAUCAUCAUGCCCCUUAUGUCUUGGGCUUCACGCAUGCUACAAUGGCCGGUACAAAGGGCUGCAAUACCGUGAGGUGGAGCGAAUCCCAAAAAGCCGGUCCCAGUUCGGAUUGAGGUCUGCAACUCGACUCAUG
RNAcentral lists this ribosomal RNA (545 nucleotides) under uncultured bacterium. Its description in RNAcentral is "bacterial SSU rRNA". It matches the Rfam family "Bacterial small subunit ribosomal RNA", at positions 777 to 1322 of the family's 1533-position model. The record is from RNAcentral.